This 536-nucleotide ribosomal RNA is filed under the name uncultured bacterium. RNAcentral's name for it is "bacterial SSU rRNA". It matches the Rfam family "Bacterial small subunit ribosomal RNA", at positions 355 to 902 of the family's 1533-position model. The record is from RNAcentral.
UGGGGAAUAUUGCGCAAUGGGCGGAAGCCUGACGCAGCGACGCCGCGUGGGGGAUGAAGGCCUUCGGGUUGUAAACCUCUUUCACCACCGACGAAGCUAACGUGACGGUAGGUGGGGAAGAAGCGCCGGCUAACUACGUGCCAGCAGCCGCGGUAAUACGUAGGGCGCAAGCGUUGUCCGGAAUUAUUGGGCGUAAAGAGCUCGUAGGCGGUCUGUUGCGUCUGCCGUGAAAACCCGAGGCUUAACCUCGGGCCUGCGGUGGAUACGGGCAGACUAGAGGUAGGUAGGGGAGAAUGGAAUUCCCGGUGUAGCGGUGAAAUGCGCAGAUAUCGGGAGGAACACCGGUGGCGAAGGCGGUUCUCUGGGCCUUACCUGACGCUGAGGAGCGAAAGCAUGGGGAGCGAACAGGAUUAGAUACCCUGGUAGUCCAUGCCGUAAACGUUGGGCGCUAGGUGUGGGGUCUUUCCACGGACUCCGUGCCGUAGCUAACGCAUUAAGCGCCCCGCCUGGGGAGUACGGCCGCAAGGCUAAAACUC